GGGGAUGUGAUGGAAUGGUAGACAUAGCAGACUUAAAAUCUGCUGGCUCAAAUAGCCGUGAGGGUUCGAAUCCCUCUAUCCCCA
Molecule: transfer RNA, 84 nt
Filed under: Poteriospumella lacustris
Lineage: Eukaryota; Chrysophyceae; Chromulinales; Dinobryaceae
Description: tRNA-Leu
Rfam family: tRNA
About the family: Transfer RNA (tRNA) molecules are approximately 80 nucleotides in length.
Source: RNAcentral